Non-coding RNA from Jackrogersella minutella, 93 nucleotides. Lineage: Eukaryota; Fungi; Ascomycota; Sordariomycetes; Xylariales; Hypoxylaceae. The record is from the annotation of a GenBank genome assembly.
GCCCCUAUAGCUCAGUGGUAGAGCGCAGCACUUGUACCCAUUCUUUGUGACAACAUAAUGCUGAGGUCCAUCGUUCAAUCCGGUGUGGGGGCA